UAAAUUACAAUGCUUAAUUCUUUUUUAAGAAGCGGGGGAACCAAUAUUUUGGGGUGAAUCAUUUUGAAGAACAACCCUUUGUUCUAAUCCAUCAGCUAACCUCGUAGGCCAAAAAGGGGAGUAUA
Molecule: small RNA, 125 nt
Filed under: Tissierella creatinophila
Lineage: Bacteria; Bacillati; Bacillota; Tissierellia; Tissierellales; Tissierellaceae
Also listed under: 1 other name
Description: c-di-AMP sequence
Rfam family: c-di-AMP riboswitch aptamer (ydaO/yuaA leader)
About the family: This family represents a conserved RNA structure found upstream of the ydaO and yuaA genes in Bacillus subtilis and related genes in other bacteria. The ydaO/yuaA element is thought to act as a genetic "off" switch for the ydaO and yuaA genes in its native state. It is believed that the element may be triggered during osmotic shock leading to activation of ydaO, a predicted amino acid transporter gene, and members of the yuaA-yubG operon which code for KtrA and KtrB K+ transporters.
Source: RNAcentral